Nymphaea colorata (pocket water lily) is the source of this 417-nucleotide long non-coding RNA. RefSeq lists it as uncharacterized. The transcript has 4 exons. The record is from RefSeq and is a predicted model, not a curated record. Lineage: Eukaryota; Viridiplantae; Streptophyta; Magnoliopsida; Nymphaeales; Nymphaeaceae.
UAGAGCAUAAUUUCUGUUUUUUGUCCUUGAGAAGGCUCGUCUUCCUCUUGCGGAAGCUCUCCGCUCCGCAUGCAGCUGCUCAUUCUCGUAUCGCACGUCUGCAUCAACUCCUCUUCCGCAUCUCUGUCGAGUUAUGACUUGUGACCUAUUUUGCUGAUGGCUGGUCAAAUUUGUCGUGGAAAGGGAAGGCUCAAUGAGGCAGCACAUUGUUGUAGUUAGGCUUUAGCAGUCGUUGUCUGCCCCAAUUAAUUGUCACAGCAACCUUUGGGGGAAUAUGAUGAAGGUUCAUGGUCCAUUACAAGAACAUAUGUUGCUGGCAACCGAAACUGUUUGAUAUCGGCAUUUCCAAUGGGUUAAACACUUGCUGGAAGCUCGAGUCUAGACAUAGAAUUGAGUUGCAGCUUAUGAGACCAAGAG